Molecule: long non-coding RNA, 1685 nt
Filed under: Homo sapiens (human)
Lineage: Eukaryota; Metazoa; Chordata; Mammalia; Primates; Hominidae
Description: HSALNT0332802
Source: RNAcentral
AAAAAAAAAAAAAAAAAGAAAUUCAUUUUAUAUAUUGAAUCAUUAUUUUGUAAGUUGUGAAAUAAGCAAUUGCAGUUUUCAUUAUGAUUUUUCCCCAGUAACCAGGUAUUCUAAUUUUUAAAAAGAGCUAGAGGGCAGGGAUUCAGAAAGAUGACACGCCCUCUGCUUUUCCGGCUUUUGGCAUUGUGUGAGGAUGUAAUGCAUGGAGCUGCUAAUGCAAGCUUGUGAAGAUGAGGGGUGCUAGCGCAUAUGAUGAGGAUGGCAGACCUGAUAGGUGGAAAGAUCUAGGUCAUCCUGACAACAUUAAGCAGCUGAACUCACUGAUCCCAGAGCCUCAGGCCACCCCACCCAGCCCUUACCAUCUCCUGUCCUACUGCCAUGGGAGGUUCUUUCCUGCUGGAUGCGAAACACUCAAUUAUCACUUCCUCAUGUGUGUAGUCUCCCUCACUGAGUCAGCUCUCACUGGGGCCUUCCCAUGACUUGUUUGUUGUCUUUAUCUGUCUGAAGCCUCAUCUUCCUUUGACAUUUAUCUUCAUCUGGAAAUUCUAUAAUCUUCCUUUUCCUCUUGUCUUGAUCUUACAUAAAAUCAACAUUGUCCAUUGAAAGUUAUGUUUAAGAAGCAUUGUUAACAAAACUAUCAUGAAGUCCCUUGUACCUUGUUAAAAACCACUGUAUUCAUAACUUUGUUGUUUUUUUCAAAUAUAUUUUUCUCUGGAUUGAAACUGCUUACCAUUCAGGUCAUUGGAAGUCUCUUCAUUCCCAUUAAACUCUUUUUCAGGUUUGACAUCUUUGUCCUCUAUUAACUCAACUUUGAGUAUCUCCUUUUUAAUCCAACAGAAAAAGCUCCUCCCCUAUCCUUCCAGCCCCAUGACUGUAAGAUAAAAAAUUUCCUGCUACAGGCAUCUUGCAGGCAAUGUGCCAGACAGGCAAUGCAUCAAACAGCCGACAUUGAUCAGAACUCAGCCCUUGUCAUAUAUCUCUUCCUAAAAUGCCUAGCAGAAUAAUUUGUUGAGUACAUGCUCAAUAACUUAAAUUGUUUUGAAUUAAAUCAAAUUAAAGUCUUACAGUCACUACUGGAGGGAGAACAGGCAACAUGUAUGAAUUUUCACUGUUUUGGAGCACAUGGAAAAGAACAUCAAUACUAGUAGCAUCUCAAGAUCCCAGUGGCUAGACCCAGCCUACACACGACAGUCAAAAUUUACUAUUUAUGAUGUGGAUUAUCUCAUACUAGUCCAUUGCUUCACUUUCUACUGACUGACACCUCUGGCACAUUUCAUCCUUUUUCUUCUUUUUCUUUUUUUAGAGACGGGGUCACCCAGGCUGGAGUACAGUGGCAUAAUCAUAGCUCACUGCAGCCUCGCUCAUGAACUCAAGUGAUCCUCCCACCUCAGCUGACCAAAUAGCUGGGACUAGAGGCAUGCCCACCACACCCGGCUAAGCACCUUUGAUUCUAAUAUUGAAAAUAUCAUUAUAAAAUAUCUAGUAGGUAUGGAUUAAUGAAUGAGUUAAAUGGCAGAUGUUUGACCCUAAUAAGUAAAGGUUUCGGGACGCCAGGGAGAUGGUAAUAUCUGGGAUCUUCUUAGGCCUCAUUACCAGGACAUAAAGAAACAAAAUGAAGUUUCUCAAAAUGCCCAUUUAAUACAUUAUUUUUUAUCGUAAUAAACAUACGGCCUUUUCAGAUCUUA